AACGAACGCUGGCGGUAUGCCUAACACAUGCAAGUCGCACGAGAAAGUACUUCGGUAUGAGUAGAGUGGCGCACGGGUGAGUAACACGUAGGUGACCUUCCGAAUAGUGGGGGAUAACUCGGAGAAAUCCGGGCUAAUACCGCAUAUGUACGACAAAUCUGAGAGUAGUCGUAGAAAGAAUGCCUCUACUUGUAAGCAUUCGCUAAUCGAUGGGCCUGCGGAGCAUUAGCUUGUUGGUGGGGUAAUGGCCUACCAAGGCUACGAUGCUUAACGGAUCUGAGAGGAUGAUCCGUCACACUGGAACUGAGACACGGCCCAGACUCCUACGGGAGGCAGCAGUGGGGAAUAUUGCGCAAUGGACGCAAGUCUGACGCAGCAAUACCGCGUGAGUGAGGAAGGCCUCGGUUGU
Molecule: ribosomal RNA, 409 nt
Filed under: uncultured bacterium
Lineage: Bacteria
Description: bacterial SSU rRNA
Rfam family: Bacterial small subunit ribosomal RNA
Source: RNAcentral